Molecule: long non-coding RNA, 2587 nt
Filed under: Homo sapiens (human)
Lineage: Eukaryota; Metazoa; Chordata; Mammalia; Primates; Hominidae
Description: HSALNT0159737
Source: RNAcentral
AAGAAAGAGGGUUGAAACCUUCAUGACAAUGCUAGAGAAUUAACAGUGAGAGAUGCAUUAAGCAACAACACAGUUUUGCCUUUUACAAGCUCCCUGAGGUUUUUAUUUCAGUCAGAGGACCAAGAUUUCAGUUCAAGUCACUGGAAGAAAAGAGCUGUCAUUUAUGCUCUCUACUUACAGGUAAAUUGUCUUGUGAUUAUUUCCACAGAACUCUGACUUGGAUAAGUUCCCCAGAGGGCAAGACCAAGCUACCUAAGAUCGGAACCCUCUGAUAAUUUGUGCUGCUAUUUUAAGAUCCAGUUCCAUUCUACAACUGGCUGAAGCAUGAAGUCAACUAAAAUAAACUGAAUUGAGUGGAACUGAACUGAACUGAAGUGAAAUAAUGUGAUUUCCAGUAAACCUGACACCUUAAGGACAGAACAUGAGCCUUGCCCAUCUUCCUCCCAGAGGUCCCAGCACAAUCACCGACUCACACAAUACUCUCAGUGCAUGAGUGAUGAAUUUCACUAACAGCGACCCAUCUCUCUACAUAAUCCACUCCGGUUUCACCAGAGCUGAGAGUAUCAUGAAUUACAUCUAUAGAUAGCUGUAAGCUAAUGACCAAAGCACAUAACUGAAUUCAAACAUAUUCUUUAUUGCAGUCAGAUGUGAGAAAACAAAAUUUAGAAGACAAGCCAGAAAGGAAAUGAAGAACAUAAAGAGCCUGAAUUCUCAUCGUCAAUUUUUCCCUGACUGACUCCGUUUUCCUCUCUUCUUUCCAUUUACCUUUCUGUUCCCAUCCCCAUCAUUUUUGUAGUGUUUAUUGAGUGUCUGCUGCAUGCCAGUCAAUGUGCUGAGUACUUUUCAUGUGUUAUACCAUUUGAUCGUCACAGCAGCACACUAUUAUAAUUAUGAAUAUGAUUCCACAUACUAUAUCUAAAAUUUAACUUAAUUUUACAUAGGAGGAAGCUGAGACUUGCCCAAGACUACUCCAUUAGUAAGAUGUGAACCAAGUGAACCAUGUCUGACUCAAACCUAACCCCUGAUUCUCUGAAUCCAUAUCACCGUAGAACUCAACAGUGAAAUAUUGGGGUAGAGAUGGAUGUACCUGCUUCUUGAGCUGAAUUCUCACCAAUCCCUCAUUUCUGGUCAUUCUUAACCUUACUCCCAGAUGUGUUUGGUCUACUGCAGCCUUCGGAUCCCUACUAGAGUUUGCCUUAGGAAUCAGCUUUCUCAGACCUGUGUCUGAGAUAAAAUGUCUGGGAUAAAAUGUCAUUUAUCCUGCUUCCUGGAUUCUGAAAUUUGAUGAUUCUGUUCUCCUCUUUCAUCUCUUCUUUCUUAAACCCUUUUUUUUAAAAAAAAAUCCUGUAACUGUCAUUUACUGGAACUUCAGAGAGAAGCAGAGGUUAAUACCUAUGUUCAAUGGAUACAGGAGAUAAAAAGAAAUUAUUUAGGCAGUUAAUGAGGGUAAGAGAGUUCUUGGCAAGGCUUCCCUUUUAACACAAGCAACCCGCCAAAUCAUUUCUUUUCUAACAAAGAGCAGCCGGUAAAAUCAAGCCACAGACACAGAUAAGCAAGCUAGAAGCUUUCACAGGUAAAUGUGGCAACUGUGCCAAUAGAAACACACUACCUAAGGGCCAGGUAUGUUCAACAUGGAGGUUCCCUCUUCCCUUUUGUGGCUACAUAAGUGGUAAAAAAGCAUGGAGCCAGCCAGGUAGAGGCCUCAUCUGCAUAAUAAAAGAUUAGGGUGAGAUGUCCAGCUUCUUCACGCCCUAUGCAAACAGCACACCUGGUCUGACUAAUCUCUUGAUCCCUAUGUAAAUGAGACACCGCCUCCUCAAGCUCCUCUAUGAAAUCCCUUGCAUUUCAGUAGGAAACCAGAAGACCCACUUGGGAGCCCCAUGCUCUCUCUGCAGGAAAGAGAGCUUUUCUUGUCUCUUUUCUCUCGCCUAUUAAACCUCAGCUCUUCAACUCACUUCUUGUGUGUCUGUGUCCUUGAUUUCCUUAGUGUGAGACAACGAACCUCAGAUAUUUACCACAGACAACGUAGCCACUUCACAAUCUUGCAAAUUUUCACCAAGUCCUUUUCAUUAUUAUGUAAGGAGUUGGAACUGACUGAUGAGGGUUUGAUUGUGAUUGCCUCUAGCUCUCCCUGAUAGCAUUUGGAUGAGCUGGACAGAUGUAGGAUUAACAAAGGUCUGUAGGGUGGAGCAAAUAUGUCUCAUUACCAAGGGUAAAAUUUCAAGUGAAGAGGCUCCCAUACUAGAGCAACCACAACAAAACAAAUAACCAUGGAUUUGGGACUGAACACUAGGAAAGAGUGAAUAUAUGUUUUUGAGGUCAGCUGUGCUGAAGGCAAGAGAAGAACAUUGCCAAGUAACUUCCAAAUGUGACAUUUUUCAACCUUGGUUUAUGACUGAAAAGCCAAGAAAGACUAAGCUAAAAUGGAAUUCAGCUUCCCAGCCUAAAUAGUGGGAGAGGUCCAAAAUACAGCUAAGGAAAAUUUUACUGGGAAAGCUAGUUGUAUCCAUUUACUCUGUUCUACACAUAUCAAUUAGAAAUUUUAAAAAGGUAAGUUUGAUCAAGCUUUUAUUCCGACAUUUGAAAA